GGACUUUAACUCCCUGAAUCCCGCAGAACCGCUUGUACAAAAGGUCGAUGUGUCAUUUGUCUCCAUAAAGCAUCAUUCCUUGUAUCACACCCGAAGCUCUCCAGCCCUCA
This 110-nucleotide long non-coding RNA is filed under the name Chrysemys picta bellii (western painted turtle). RNAcentral describes it as "lncRNA (ENSCPBG00000021587.1)". Lineage: Eukaryota; Metazoa; Chordata; Testudines; Emydidae. The record is from RNAcentral.